AGAGUUUGAUCAUGGCUCAGGACGAACGCUGGCGGCGUGCUUAACACAUGCAAGUCGAGCGGAAAGGCCCCUUCGGGGUACUCGAGCGGCGAACGGGUGAGUAACACGUGAGCAACCUGCCCUUAGCUCUGGGAUAGCUCCGGGAAACCGGGAUUAAUACCGGAUAUGACUGCGGUCGGCAUCGGCUGUGGUGGAAAGUU
This 200-nucleotide ribosomal RNA is filed under the name uncultured bacterium. RNAcentral's name for it is "partial 16S ribosomal RNA". It matches the Rfam family "Bacterial small subunit ribosomal RNA", at positions 8 to 209 of the family's 1533-position model. The record is from RNAcentral.